Rhincodon typus (whale shark) is the source of this 679-nucleotide non-coding RNA. NCBI's taxonomy places the organism in Eukaryota, Metazoa, Chordata, Chondrichthyes, Orectolobiformes, Rhincodontidae. The record is from the annotation of a RefSeq genome assembly.
CAGGCUGCAGCUUUAUAAAGCAGGCCCCAGUGAAGGGAGGGUUUAUCAGGAACCAGGCACGGGGACAGGAGCACACACCAUGAUUUCACACAUCCAGCUGAUCUGGCCUCUGGCAUUCUACGUCGCAGGUAUCAGUGGGGACAUCAUCAUGAACCAGUCUCCCCCGGUGCUGUCAGUGGGACUGGGCCAGACCGCAACCAUCACCUGUACGGCCAGUCAAUCUGUCAGCAAGUGGGUUCGCUGGUACCAGCAGCGAGAUGGACAGAAACCCUCUCUCCUGAUCAAUGAAGCAACAACUCGAUUCACAGGAGUCUCUGAGCGAUUCAGUGGCAGUGGAUCAGGGACCAGUUUCACCCUGACAAUCAGCAAUGUUCAGAAUGAGGAUGUCGCUGACUAUUACUGUCAGCAAUAUCAGAGCUACCCUCUGCACAGUGAUACAGAGCCAUAUAAAAACCUCAAUACACACAGUCCCACCUCCUGCACUGAUACAUCCCACAGUUAUAUAUAAAUGAAACUGAACAAAUGACCUCAUGCCAGGAUUGUCACUGCCCACUACACACUCCAGUCCCUGUGGUGUCCACCGCUCACUGAAGGCCUCAAGUUUCCCUCUUACACUUCAUGGCCACAUGUGAAGGGCAGCUACAAGAUGUAAUAUCAAAAAUAAAGUUCACAAAUCUCC